Long non-coding RNA from Triticum dicoccoides, 230 nucleotides. RefSeq lists it as uncharacterized. The record is from RefSeq and is a predicted model, not a curated record. NCBI's taxonomy places the organism in Eukaryota, Viridiplantae, Streptophyta, Magnoliopsida, Poales, Poaceae. The transcript has 3 exons.
CAGGGGGGCGAUGAGUAUGAAAGUUGGAGUGAAUACCGAGAGUUUUAUAGCACCCGUGAAAUUGAUAGAGAUUAUCUGCUGUACUGGGAAACGAUUGUGAAGGAUCUUAAGUGGAUUGAAGAACAUGUGCUUAAAGCCUUUUCUGAGUGGCAUGAAUUGCAUGAAAAAGCUUCAUGCCGAGCAGUUAGGAUUGCUGCUAGGUUCACAAACAUCCAUCCGAGGCUAGCAUA